GGAGGUAUCAGAAGUGCGAAUGCUGACAUAAGUAACGAUAAUGCGGGUGAAAAACCCGCACGCCGGAAGACCAAGGGUUCCUGUCCAACGUUAAUCGGGGCAGGGUGAGUCGACCCCUAAGGCGAGGCUGAAAAGCGUAGUCGAUGGGAAACAGGUUAAUAUUCCUGUACUUGGUGUUACUGCGAAGGGGGGACGGAGAAGGCUAGGCUGGCCGGGCGACGGUUGUCCCGGUUUAAGCGUGUAGGGGGAGUGACCAGGUAAAUCCGGUUGCUUAUCAACCCUGAGGCGUGAUGACGAUGCACCACGGUGCAGAAGCAGUUGAUGCCAUGCUUCCAGGAAAAGCCUCUAAGCAUCAGGUAACAUUAAAUCGUACCCCAAACCGACACAGGUGGUCAGGUAGAGAAUACUCAGGCGCUUGAGAGAACUCGGGUGAAGGAACUAGGCAAAAUGGUGCCGUAACUUCGGGAGAAGGCACGCUGGCGUUAGGUGAAAGGACUAGCUCCUGGAGCUGAAGCCAGUCGCAGAUACCAGCUGGCUGCAACUGUUUAAUAAAAACACAGCACUGUGCAAACACGAAAGUGGACGUAUACGGUGUGACGCCUGCCCGGUGCUGGAAGGUUAAUUGAUGGGGUCAGCCGCAAGGCGAAGCUCUUGAUCGAAGCCCCAGUAAACGGCGGCCGUAACUAUAACGGUCCUAAGGUAGCGAAAUUCCUUGUCGGGUAAGUUCCGACCUGCACGAAUGGCGUAAUGAUGGCCAGGCUGUCUCCACCCGAGACUCAGUGAAAUUGAACUCGCUGUGAAGAUGCAGUGUACCCGCGGCAAGACGGAAAGACCCCGUGAACCUUUACUAUAGCUUGACACUGAACAUUGAGCCUUGAUGUGUAGGAUAGGUGGGAGGCCUUGAAGUGUGGACGCCAGUCUGCAUGGAGCCAACCUUGAAAUACCACCCUUUAAUGUUUGAUGUUCUAACUCGGCCCCAUGAUCUGGGGUGAGGACAGUGUCUGGUGGGUAGUUUGACUGGGGCGGUCUCCUCCCAAAGAGUAACGGAGGAGCACGAAGGUUAGCUAAUCACGGUCGGACAUCGUGAGGUUAGUGCAAAGGCAUAAGCUAGCUUGACUGCGAGAGUGACGGCUCGAGCAGGUACGAAAGUAGGUCUUAGUGAUCCGGUGGUUCUGAAUGGAAGGGCCAUCGCUCAACGGAUAAAAGGUACUCCGGGGAUAACAGGCUGAUACCGCCCAAGAGUUCAUAUCGACGGCGGUGUUUGGCACCUCGAUGUCGGCUCAUCACAUCCUGGGGCUGAAGUAGGUCCCAAGGGUAUGGCUGUUCGCCAUUUAAAGUGGUACGCGAGCUGGGUUUAGAACGUCGUGAGACAGUUCGGUCCCUAUCUGCCGUGGGCGUUGGAAGAUUGAGAGGGGCUGCUCCUAGUACGAGAGGACCGGAGUGGACGAAUCACUGGUGUUCGGGUUGUCAUGCCAAUGGCAUUGCCCGGUAGCUAAAUUCGGAAGAGAUAACCGCUGAAAGCAUCUAAGCGGGAAACUUGCCUCGAGAUGAGUCUUCCCUGGGGCUUAAAGCCCCCUGAAGGAACGUUAAAGACUAUGACGUUGA
Molecule: ribosomal RNA, 1605 nt
Filed under: Yersinia pestis PY-113
Lineage: Bacteria; Pseudomonadati; Pseudomonadota; Gammaproteobacteria; Enterobacterales; Yersiniaceae
Description: bacterial LSU rRNA
Rfam family: Bacterial large subunit ribosomal RNA
Source: RNAcentral